RNAcentral lists this ribosomal RNA (495 nucleotides) under uncultured bacterium. RNAcentral's name for it is "partial 16S ribosomal RNA". It matches the Rfam family "Bacterial small subunit ribosomal RNA", at positions 30 to 507 of the family's 1533-position model. The record is from RNAcentral.
UGAACGCUGGCGGCGUGCCUAAUACAUGCAAGUCGAGCGAACAGACGAGGAGCUUGCUCCUCUGACGUUAGCGGCGGACGGGUGAGUAACACGUGGAUAACCUACCUAUAAGACUGGGAUAACUUCGGGAAACCGGAGCUAAUACCGGAUAAUAUAUUGAACCGCAUGGUUCCAUAGUGAAAGACGGUUUUGCUGUCACUUAUAGAUGGAUCCGCGCCGCAUUAGCUAGUUGGUAAGGUAACGGCUUACCAAGGCGACGAUGCGUAGCCGACCUGAGAGGGUGAUCGGCCACACUGGAACUGAGACACGGUCCAGACUCCUACGGGAGGCAGCAGUAGGGAAUCUUCCGCAAAGGGCGAAAGCCUGACGGAGCAACGCCGCGUGAGUGAUGAAGGUCUUCGGAUCGUAAAACUCUGUUAUUAGGGAAGAACAAAUGUGUAAGUAACUAUGCACGUCUUGACGGUACCUAAUCAGAAAGCCACGGCUAACUACGUG